ACCUUUUGUAUAAUGGGUCAGCGAGUUACUUUCAGUGGCGAGGUUAACUGAAUAAGGGAGCCGUAGAGAAAUCGAGUCUGAAUAGGGCGAUAGUCGCUGGGAGUAGACCCGAAACCGGGCGAUCUAGCCAUGUGCAGGAUGAAGGUUGGGUAACACCAACUGGAGGUCCGAACCGGGUAAUGUUGAAAAAUUAUCGGAUGACGUGUGGCUAGGAGUGAAAGGCUAAUCAAGCCCGGAGAUAGCUGGUUCUCCCCGAAAGCUAUUUAGGUAGCGCCUCGUGAAUGAUUACUGGGGGUAGAGCACUGUUUCGGCUAGGGGGCUGUCAUGGCUUACCAAACCGAUGCAAACUCCGAAUACCGGCUAAUUGGAUCACGGGAGACACACGGCGGGUGCUAACGUCCGUCGUGGAGAGGGAAACAACCCAGACCGCCAGCUAAGGUCCCCAAGUACUAGUUAAGUGGGAAACGAUGUGGGAAGGCAUAGACAGCCAGGAGGUUGGCUUAGAAGCAGCCACCCUUUAAAGAAAGCGUAAUAGCUCACUGGUCGAGUCGGCCUGCGCGGAAGAUGUAACGGGGCUAAAACUAGUCACCGAAGCUGCGGAUGUGCGCGAAGGCGCACGUGGUAGGGGAGCGUUCUGUAGGCUGAUGAAGGUGCAUUGAGAAGUGUGCUGGAGGUAUCAGAAGUGCGAAUGCUGACAUGAGUAACGAUAAUGUGGGUGAAAAGCCCACACGCCGGAAGUCCCAGGUUUCCUGCACGACGUUAAUCGGAGCAGGGUGAGUCGGCCCCUAAGGCGAGGCUGAAGAGCGUAGUCGAUGGGAACCAGGUUAAUAUUCCUGGACUUUUUAUAAGUGGUGAAGUGGGGACGAAGAAGGCUAGGUGAGCCAGGCGUUGGUUGUCCUGGUACUUGCAUGUAGGGGGGAAGACUUGGCAAAUCCGGUUUUCCAUAACUCUGAGGUGCGAAGUGGUUCUGACCUUUUGGUACAGAGAAGUCAUUGAUGCCCGGCUUCCAGGAAAAGCUGCUAGCCAUAACUUAUAGAGAACCGUACCGCAAACCGACACAGGUGGACAGGUAGAGAAUACUAAGGCGCUUGAGAGAACUCGGGUGAAGGAACUAGGCAAAAUGGUACCGUAACUUCGGGAGAAGGUACGCCCUUUUGGGUGAGGGCAUUUACUGUCUGAGCUUAAGAGGGCCGCAGAGACCAGGUGGCUGCGACUGUUUAUUAAAAACACAGCACUCUGCAAAUUCGUAAGAAGACGUAUAGGGUGUGACGCCUGCCCGGUGCCGGAAGGUUAAUUGAUGGGGUUAUCUUCGGAGAAGCUCUUGAUCGAAGCCCCGGUAAACGGCGGCCGUAACUAUAACGGUCCUAAGGUAGCGAAAUUCCUUGUCGGGUAAGUUCCGACCUGCACGAAUGGCGUAACGAUGGCCACACUGUCUCCACCCGAGACUCAGUGAAAUUGAAAUCGCUGUGAAGAUGCAGUGUACCCGCGGCUAGACGGAAAGACCCCGUGAACCUUUACUAUAGUUUUGCACUGGACUUUGAUGAUGACUGUGUAGGAUAGGUGGGAGGCUGUGAAGUGAGGACGCUAGUUCUCAUGGAGCCGCCCUUGAAAUACCACCCUGUUGUUAUUGAGGUUCUAACUUGGUCCAGUAAUCCUGGAUGAGGACAGUGUAUGAUGGGUAGUUUGACUGGGGCGGUCUCCUCCCAAAGAGUAACGGAGGAGCACAAAGGUACCCUCGGUACGGUCGGACAUCGUACCAAGAGUGUAAAGGCAAAAGGGUGCUUGACUGCGAGAGUGACGGCUCGAGCAGGAACGAAAGUUGGUCUUAGUGAUCCGGUGGUUCUGAAUGGAAGGGCCAUCGCUCAACGGAUAAAAGGUACUCCGGGGAUAACAGGCUGAUACCGCCCAAGAGUUCAUAUCGACGGCGGUGUUUGGCACCUCGAUGUCGGCUCAUCACAUCCUGGGGCUGAAGCAGGUCCCAAGGGUAUGGCUGUUCGCCAUUUAAAGUGGUACGCGAGCUGGGUUUAGAACGUCGUGAGACAGUUCGGUCCCUAUCUGCCGUGGGCGUAGGAAAAUUGAGAGGAGCUGCUCCUAGUACGAGAGGACCGGAGUGGACGAACCUCUGGUGCACCGGUUGUCACGCCAGUGGCAUGGCCGGGUAGCUAAGUUCGGACGGGAUAACCGCUGAAAGCAUCUAAGCGGGAAGCCUCCCUCAAGAUGAGUUUUCCCAUGAAGCCCGUUGAAGACUACGACGUUGAUAGGCAAGGUGUGGAAGCGCAGUAAUGCGUGAAGCUAACUUGUACUAAUUGGCUGAUUGUCUUGACCA
Molecule: ribosomal RNA, 2326 nt
Filed under: Legionella pneumophila
Lineage: Bacteria; Pseudomonadati; Pseudomonadota; Gammaproteobacteria; Legionellales; Legionellaceae
Also listed under: 1 other name
Description: partial 23S ribosomal RNA
Rfam family: Bacterial large subunit ribosomal RNA
Source: RNAcentral